This 2581-nucleotide long non-coding RNA is filed under the name Homo sapiens (human). RNAcentral's name for it is "HSALNT0207406". Lineage: Eukaryota; Metazoa; Chordata; Mammalia; Primates; Hominidae. The record is from RNAcentral.
GGGACACGUGGCAGGCGUGUUGGGUUCCAGCUGGGUUGGCUUUGAGAGUCUGGUGGGAUGAACCCUCAUGGCUCCACCGUCACUUUGAGGUGGUGUCACCUCUGACCUCUGACCUUCAGCAUGGCAUGACCUCGCUGAGGUGACCCUGGUGUCCCACAUAUCACCCUGAGUGUUCUUAAUACACAGUCGAGGGCUGUGUUCAUUGGACUAUUCUGGUGUCACCGCCCACUUCAUUUCUGUGCCUGGCAGCACUUUUACUCCUGGUUGGGAGCAUGACCGCCUCCCAGUUCAGCUUCCUCCUGCGUCCCAAGUGAGCGGGGCGGCUGUCCUCGAGGACUCCGGGCUCACAGCCAACCUGCUGGCACGGCUCGAGGACUCCGGGCUCACAGCCAACCUGCUGGCACGGCCGCCCUUUCCCGCCCUGCCUCGGGUGAGCCAAGGACUUGUCUUCUGCUUCCUGGGUUCCUGAAAGAGCUCUCCUCUGAUUUCUCAAAGGCAAAAUAAAACUCAGAUUUAAGUCUUUGGUGCGUAGCCCCUAAUUUCCUUCCCUUUCUCUGAAUCCUCACUGCCCAGCAUGAUGGACCGGCCUGGGCUCAGGACCUGAUUCCACAGGCUCCCAGCCCUCCCACAGGUACCGUGUCUUCUGUGCUGGUGUCGCACCCGCCGGCCACCGCCACCCUGCGUCUUAGACGUCCCGCCGCAGCUGUGUUUCCACCUCAUCUCCAGCUUGAGUGGCAGCCAGCGGCGCCACCUGCACACGAGCCCCCUCCAUUCGAGAAGCACAGACUAUGAGUGUGGCCACGCGUCCCAUGACGUGAACUCACGUCUGCGCCGAGACCUUUGCCGGCGGUUUUUUACUGACGGAGUAAGCACUGGAGAUGCUUGGUACAGCGUCUUCCAUCGCCGAAGUUGGGAUCCGCCAGGCCUGAGCAGUUCUGCAGCAUAUCUGCCGUGAACUUGCAGGAGAACUUGGUGUGGUUGGGAGCGCGGAAACUCUCCUGGAAGAAGUACUGCUCGGAGGUGCAGUUGAUGCUGUCCUCCUGGGCUGCUGGAGAGUAGCCUGCAGACGGACGCACCUGCCAGCCCUGUCCUGCCCUGGCCCUGACGCCUGGCUGCCCCCCGGGAAGGCCUUGCAAGCCCUGAGUGCGAGUUUCUCAUGAAAUAGAAAAGGCCGAAGCUGUGGAGCCGUUUCACACCUCACCUGCUGCUUCACACCUCACCCACCCGCCGCUUCACACCUCACCCACCCGCCGCUUCACACCUCACCCACCCGCCGCUUCACACCUCACCUGCCGUUUCACACCUCACCUGCUAGGAAGGCGUGGAGAGUCUGUGUGAGGUCUGCCCAGGUUCUGUUAUCAGAGACGUUGUAGACAAUUUCCAGGCCUUUCUCCCCGUAAACAUCCGGCCUUAAGGUUACCCCUGGAGAGAGAGACCUUUGUGCUUAGCGUCUCCAAAUGCUCACCACAUUUAAGCCAUCAGUUCUGAAGUGGCUGAGGAUACGCCAGAGGCGGUGGCCCAACCCAGGAGCCUCCUCGGAGUAAACUGUCUGCAGCACAGGAAGGAAGGACCCCCAGGACAGCACAGUCAGAAUGCAGCCUGGGUCCCUGCUGGGAGUUGCCCCGGCCCUGGAACCUGGCUGGCUGCCAUGGUGGGGGGUGGGGGGUGGCUGGCUCUCUCCACCGGGUGCCUGCUCUGUGACAGGUGAUGACUAAUCCAGAGGCUGCACCUGGGUUUCUAUGUAAAAUUGCAUUUGAACAUGCAUUAAAAAAAAUCUUCACUGGUUUUGGUUAAGAACAAAAGCAGUCUAACAACAUGUUAACUGUAAAACUGAACAUCAGGAUGCACACAGCGGGGAGUGAAACGCAGAGCCGUCGACUUUCCCGAUGUGAACCGUCAAAUGUGCAUCCUUUGCACACUUUCCUGUUUCUGUGGAAACACAGAUGCAGAAACGUGUGUUUACUGCAGGUCCUUAGGAACAGCCCGCCAUCCACACACCACUGGCUUCCCAGUGGCCACACACUUCCACUUCCCGUGCGAUUGGGAGCCUCUUUUUCUGUCAUUUUGUGUCAACUCACCUCAUUCUUUCCAUAAAUGUGGUUUCAUUGUGUGAAGCCUGCAGUUUGCUUAGUUGGUCCCCUAUGGAUGCAGCUGGCUUUACAUUUGAGGCUAGGUGUUGCUGUUUAGUGGAUUUUGUUAAGAGUAAAAUCUAUACGUGGUUUAAAAUAAAAACCUUCAGCAGGGUCUGAGGGAAAAGGAGGUUCUGCACUUGCUCUGCACACCGAUGGGGACGUCUGUCCUGUGGCCUCUGACGACUCGGAUGCCUGUUCCUCUGUCCUUGCACCCUGCUGAUGUGUAGGUGACCAGCGGGCUCUUUUCUGCUGGUCUCCCGGGUGUGCUCCUUGGAAACUGUUUCCUGUGCGUCCUUGCAGAAACAUUCCGUGUGCAUAUCCAAGCACAGGAAGUAAGUGGAUGGAAAAACUUUGUCUCUAUAACAAAACCCUUCUGUUUCAUAAUUAAAACUAAAGCCAAAGUCAGAUUUUAUAAUUUGGAGUCAUUUUCCUCAUGGAAAGAAACUAAG